This 253-nucleotide ribosomal RNA is filed under the name uncultured bacterium. RNAcentral describes it as "partial 16S ribosomal RNA". It matches the Rfam family "Bacterial small subunit ribosomal RNA", at positions 524 to 776 of the family's 1533-position model. The record is from RNAcentral.
GACGUAGGGGACGAGCGUUGUCCGGAUUCAUUGGGCGUAAAGGGUGCGUAGGCGGCGCGGUAAGUCGGGUGUGAAAUCUCGGAGCUUAACUCCGAAACUGCAUUCGAUACUGCCGUGCUUGAGGACUGGAGAGGAGACUGGAAUUUACGGUGUAGCGGUGAAAUGCGUAGAUAUCGUAAGGAAGACCAGUGGCGAAAGCGACUCUCUGGACGGCAACUGACGCUGAGGCACGAAAGCGUGGGGAGCAAACAGG